This 253-nucleotide ribosomal RNA is filed under the name uncultured bacterium. Its description in RNAcentral is "partial 16S ribosomal RNA". It matches the Rfam family "Bacterial small subunit ribosomal RNA", at positions 524 to 776 of the family's 1533-position model. The record is from RNAcentral.
UACAGAGGUGGCAAGCGUUGUUCGGAAUUACUGGGCGUAAAGGGCGCGUAGGCGGCCAUCUAAGUCAGACGUGAAAUCCCCCGGCUUAACCUGGGAACUGCGUCUGAUACUGGACGGCUUGAGUAUGGGAGAGGGAUGUAGAAUUCCAGGUGUAGCGGUGAAAUGCGUAGAUAUCUGGAGGAAUACCGGUGGCGAAGGCGGCAUCCUGGACCGACACUGACGCUGAUGCGCGAAAGCCAGGGGAGCAAACGGG